GCCUGGGUGGCUCAGUGGUUGAGCAUCUGCCUUUGGCUCAGGUUGUGACCCCGAGGUCCUGGGAUCGAGUCCCACAUCAGGCU
This is a non-coding RNA of Canis lupus familiaris (dog), 83 nucleotides long. NCBI's taxonomy places the organism in Eukaryota, Metazoa, Chordata, Mammalia, Carnivora, Canidae. The record is from Rfam.